Molecule: ribosomal RNA, 350 nt
Filed under: uncultured bacterium
Lineage: Bacteria
Description: bacterial SSU rRNA
Rfam family: Bacterial small subunit ribosomal RNA
Source: RNAcentral
AGUGAACGCUGGCGGCAGGCCUAACACAUGCAAGUCGAGCGGCAGCGGGUUCCCGCGAGGGGAUGCCGGCGAGCGGCGGACGGGUGAGGAACACAUCGGAAUCUGCCUGGUUGUGGGGGAUAACGUAGGGAAACUUACGCUAAUACCGCAUGAGACCCUGAGUCGACGGACUGGGGGUGAAAGUGAGGGACCUUCGGGCCUCACGCGACCAGAUGAGCCGAUGUCGGAUUAGCUAGUUGGCGGGGUAACGGCCCGCCAAGGCGACGAUCCGUAGCUGGUCUGAGAGGAUGAUCAGCCACACUGGGACUGAGACACGGCCCAGACUCCUACGGGAGGCAGCAGUGGGGAAU